Non-coding RNA from Pelobates cultripes (western spadefoot toad), 79 nucleotides. The record is from the annotation of a GenBank genome assembly. Lineage: Eukaryota; Metazoa; Chordata; Amphibia; Anura; Pelobatidae.
GGGAUUACCUGGGUGUGUCUAAGGUGUUUGUUUUUUUUUUCUUUUUCUAAACACCUUAGACACACCCAGGUAAUCCCUA